CCUACGGGAGGCAGCAGUGAGGAAUAUUGGUCAAUGGACGAGAGUCUGAACCAGCCAAGUAGCGUGAAGGAUGACUGCCCUAUGGGUUGUAAACUUCUUUUAUAUGGGAAUAAAACGUUCCACGUGUGGGAUUUUGUAUGUACCAUAUGAAUAAGGAUCGGCUAACUCCGUGCCAGCAGCCGCGGUAAUACGGAGGAUCCGAGCGUUAUCCGGAUUUAUUGGGUUUAAAGGGUGCGCAGGCGGAUUUUUAAGUCAGCGGUCAAAUCGUGGGGCUCAACCCCAUCCAGCCGUUGAAACUGGGGAUCUAGAGUGUGCGAGAGGUAUGCGGAAUGCGUGGUGUAGCGGUGAAAUGCAUAGAUAUCACGCAGAACCCCGAUUGCGAAGGCAGCAUACCGGUGCACAACUGACGCUCAGGCACGAAAGCGUGGGUAUCGAACAGGAUUAGAUACACGUGUAGUC
Molecule: ribosomal RNA, 459 nt
Filed under: uncultured bacterium
Lineage: Bacteria
Description: partial 16S ribosomal RNA
Rfam family: Bacterial small subunit ribosomal RNA
Source: RNAcentral